This is a long non-coding RNA of Silurus meridionalis, 1212 nucleotides long. RefSeq lists it as uncharacterized. Lineage: Eukaryota; Metazoa; Chordata; Actinopteri; Siluriformes; Siluridae. The record is from RefSeq and is a predicted model, not a curated record. The transcript has 3 exons.
CUACACUAUUUUCACAUGAUGAGGAUAACAGCAUUCACUAACAACCAAUUUCAUUAUCGAUUCGAUUAGUUGUUGCAGCUCUAAUAAUAAAUAAUAAACUCAGUGUUUCAAAGAGAAUAAAAACCCAUAAAGUUUGGAAACUCACUGUUCCAGCAGUCGUACAGUCGCUCUAUUAAACAUUUUUCUACUAUUGAACAUCAGGUAGCUGCUCCAUCAACACUUUCAUCUCAUAAGGAGCACGAGACUGAGAGGAACCACCACAUCCAGAGUCCACCCACAUCCAGCUCAAGUUCCAGCUGUGGAGGAGAAACCAGCUGCAGCUCAAGUUCCAGCUGUGGAGGAGAAACCAGCUGCAGCUCAAGUUCCAGCUGUGGAGGUGAAACCAGCACAAGUUUAAAAUUCAGUUAAAGCUCCUUCAGCAUCUCGUCUUUUACUUCUUACAAUCUGACUUCAGUUCAUCACCUCACCAUCUGUGGCGCUAUUUCCCCUUUUCACCUUCUGUGUCUCCAGUAUGUGUGUACACAUGCUCAGAGUUUACUUACAGGCACACAUUCUUCUGUUAGGUUUUUUAUAAUCACAACCUUUGUGUGGAACUACAGCUCUACUGACUGAACUCGCCGGGAACGCUGCCUGUUCUGCCCUGUUCCAUGAAAGCAGCAGCAUGUUGGAAACUGGAUUAUCUGCACUUCUUUUGUACUUUAAGAAUUGUGCUGUGCUCAGCAGUAAAACUCAAUGGAACUCAAACUGUCUUGUGUUUAAUGGUGAGAAAAGUGCCAAAGUCUGCCAGAGACACUGUUCAAUUCUCAAUUAAAUCUCAGGAAAUUGUAGACAAGUCAAGACAUCAGCAAACUUCAUCACUGCUGUGAUGCCGAGUGGUGAAGGUGUUGGACUUGAAAUCUAAUGGUGUUUCCCCACGCAGGUUUGAAUCCUGCUCACAGCGUUUCAUCAAUGUGUGAUAGUGAUUUCUUGUUAAGUCUUUACUGUGUGAAGUGAACAAUGUACAGAAGUGUUUCAUGCAUAGAAGAAACGUUGGAAACAAACAUUAUCUGGUUUACUUGAGGUGAAAGUUGUUUUGCUGGGACGAGGAGGAAGAACAUUAGAACUCACAUUACCUCUUUAGGAAACAUGAUUCGUCUUGUGCUUUCUACAAGAUCCAAAAGGUUCAGAAAGAUCUUUUUAAACUUCUUGGACGUUGUUGCCACAAAGUCUUAC